CGAAUCAUUCACAAUGGGCGAAAGCCUGAUGGUGCGACGCCGCGUGGGGGAUGAAGGUCCUCGGAUUGUAAACCCCUGUCACCAAGGACAAAACGUCAUCCAUUAACAGUGGAUGGCCUGAUUUAACUUGGAGAGGAAGCAGUGGCUAACUCUGUUCCAGCAGCCGCGGUAAUACAGAGACUGCAAGCGUUGUUCGGAUUUACUGGGCGUAAAGGGUGCGCAGGCGGCCGGAUGUGUCGGGUGUGAAAUUUCGAGGCUCAACCUCGAAACUGCGCCCGAAACUAUUCGGCUAGAGUACUGGAGAGGGAAGCGGAAUUCACGGUGUAGCAGUGAAAUGCGUAGAUAUCGUGAGGAACACCAGUGGCGAAGGCGGCUUCCUGGACAGUUACUGACGCUCAGGCACGAAAGCGUGGGGAGCG
This 419-nucleotide ribosomal RNA is filed under the name uncultured bacterium. RNAcentral's name for it is "bacterial SSU rRNA". It matches the Rfam family "Bacterial small subunit ribosomal RNA", at positions 358 to 770 of the family's 1533-position model. The record is from RNAcentral.